CAGCAGCCACGGUAAUACGUAGGUGGCAAGCGUUGUCCGGAAUUAUUGGGCGUAAAGGGCUCGCAGGCGGUUUCUUAAGUCUGAUGUGAAAGCCCCCGGCUCAACCGGGGAGGGUCAUUGGAAACUGGGAAACUUGAGUGCAGAAGAGGAGAGUGGAAUUCCACGUGUAGCGGUGAAGUGCGUAGAGAUGUGGAGGAACACCAGUGGCGAAGGCGACUCUCUGGUCUGUAACUGACGCUGAGGAGCGAAAGCGUGGGGAGCGAACAGGAUUAGAUACCCGUGUAGUCCCUGUCUCUUAUAA
RNAcentral lists this ribosomal RNA (301 nucleotides) under uncultured bacterium. RNAcentral's name for it is "partial 16S ribosomal RNA". It matches the Rfam family "Bacterial small subunit ribosomal RNA", at positions 509 to 809 of the family's 1533-position model. The record is from RNAcentral.